This 500-nucleotide ribosomal RNA is filed under the name uncultured cyanobacterium. RNAcentral describes it as "bacterial SSU rRNA". It matches the Rfam family "Bacterial small subunit ribosomal RNA", at positions 355 to 869 of the family's 1533-position model. The record is from RNAcentral. Lineage: Bacteria; Bacillati; Cyanobacteriota.
GGUGGAAUUUUCCGCAAUGGGCGAAAGCCUGACGGAGCAACGCCGCGUGAGGGAGGAAGGCCUGUGGGUUGUAAACCUCUUUUCUCAGGGAAGAAGUUCUGACGGUACCUGAGGAAUCAGCAUCGGCUAACUCCGUGCCAGCAGCCGCAGUAAGACGGAGGAUGCAAGCGUUAUCCGGAAUUAUUGGGCGUAAAGCGUCCGUAGGCGGUUCAGAAAGUCUGCUGUUAAAGCUCACAGCUCAACUGUGAAUCGGCAGUGGAAACUUCUGGACUAGAGAGUGGUAGGGGUAGAGGGAAUUCCUAGUGUAGCGGUGAAAUGCGUAGAUAUUAGGAAGAACACCAGUGGCGAAGGCGCUCUACUGGGCCAUUACUGACGCUGAUGGACGAAAGCUAGGGGAGCGAAAGGGAUUAGAUACCCCUGUAGUCCUAGCUGUAAACGAUGGACACUAGGUGUUGGCCGUAUCGACCCGGUCAGUAUCGAAGCAAACGCGUUAAGUGUCC